Long non-coding RNA from Chenopodium quinoa (quinoa), 2517 nucleotides. RefSeq lists it as uncharacterized. The record is from RefSeq and is a predicted model, not a curated record. The transcript is spliced from 3 exons. NCBI's taxonomy places the organism in Eukaryota, Viridiplantae, Streptophyta, Magnoliopsida, Caryophyllales, Amaranthaceae.
AUAAAACCCCCCUUUCGUCAUAUUCUUAACCCUAACUAUUGUUUUUUCCUUUCAUUCGAUCUGAAUUUUACACAGAUUCAUGGAGUCAUGGCUUAGAUUCAGAUCUUAUUUCUCCUUGCGUCUCUCAUCAUUCUAUCACAAUAAUUGAUAUAUUUUGCCGAAAAUAACUGUCUUCCUCUCAGAUAUGAUGGUUUCCAUUAAAAAUUGAUAUGCGACAGCUAUUGCUCUUGUUCUCCUCACAGGUUAAAUUUUUACAUCACUCUUUUUUGAUUUUAACUUCUAAUAGUACUUCUUUCAAUUUUUGUGUGAGUUUUAUUGAUACUUGCAAGUUGCAAUUACCCAAUUUUUUUCGUUUCAAAACCCUAGGUCAUAGAUCUUGUUGAACUACUAUUUCUUUAAUUGAAACUCUAUUGGAUUCCAAAAGUUAAAAUCUUUUUUAUUAUGGUAUUAAAAACUUGACAUUGAAAUUCUUUGUUUAUUAGAGUAAAAAAAAAAAAAAUCAAAUUACUCUUAUUGGAUAAGAGUCGAAUGGUUAAUGGGGUAAAGAUUAUAUUGUGGAGCUGAAAGAAACUCCUGGAAAGAAGAGCUUGUAUCGAACUAAUGGGCAAUGCAGUUGGAUGCUAAUUAAGCACAUCUGAUCUUGACGGAGUAUAUUGGUCCUCAGUAUGAAAUAGAGUAUACUGCUCCUCAAUAUGAAAUAGAGACAUGAGCUACGGUAAUUUUACUCAAAACAUGAGAAUUAUUAAUCCAUUAUAGCUAGAAAAGUAAUGAGAUAAUUAGAAGUUCAAAAUUACAAAAUUAAGGUGUGUUCUGUAUUUGCUAUUGAUAGCACUAAAUGGUUUUAAGUAAGGUUGCUAUUAGUAUUGUGAUACCAUGUUCAAUGAGCUUUGUUUUUCUUACUAUUGUUUUAUAAAUAUUUGUUUUUUUUUAUCAAGUUCUUAAUUAUCCUUGCUGUUGAGUGGUACGAUGGUAUUGUAUUUGUAUCAUGUCUCUAUCAACUUCCGGUAUUAUUGAUUGGUAAUAUUUGUUUAUCAAGUUCUUAAUCCUUGUAGUGGAAAGUCUUAAUGCAUUUCUUGUCCCAAUGCAUUUUUACCAAAAUAAAAUGCAUAUAUACUAUAUUGCCUCCUUGCUGAAGAUUCAUUCUAUGGACAUUUUCAUGAGUAGAAAAGGAAGAUAAUGGAGGAUAUAAACCUCUUCAUAUAUGUCUAAUAUAUAAUUAUUUUUUCAACUAAGUUUGAUUUUCUUCCUCGCCUUUUUCUUAGAAUUUCAAAGGAAAGAUAGAGUCUGCAAUUUUGUUUAUCAAUUUCUCUAAAUACUUCAUCAUGCCAUCUUGCUGAUGUGAUUCUUAGAACUUAUAAAAAUUCUGGUCAUUUCUCUCUCUUAUUCCCUCUUUCUAUUUCUCUCUCUUAUUCCCUCUUUCAAUACUUUGGGCAGCUGUUCUCGGCCUUAAGGUUGACGAGAAAAUUCUGAAGAAUCCAUAUAUAAGGAAGGAGCUUGAUACUCGUUUCCCCGUUUUAUGUUUCUAUCUUUCUCUCUCAUAUUUUUAUUGAAUUUUAUUUAUGUUUUCCUAGAGUACAUAAGUUGUCUGAACUCUAAUAUUUAUGAAGGUUUGCAACAUAUCGUUGCCUUGUCUAGUAAUUCCUUUAGUUUUAAAUCUUUAGCAUCUAAAAAAGUAGAAUGAAGAAUUUGAAAACCAUACUACGUGUUUUAAGACAUAAUUUGGGAAUGCACAAGUUGAGUAAGAUUUCUUUACGAAUAUAUAUUCUGGUAUCUAAUUUGGGCAUGCACAAGAGAUACCAAGCUGAAUAUUGGUUCCUGUAUACAUGUACAGUGGUAUACUACGAUAAGGUAUAUAUUCUCCAAAGAAAGUUUAAAAGGUUAAUGGCUGUUUUUUCCUCUUUGGAUUGCUGAGCAUUUUGUCACAAUCUGAACUUUAUUUUACCCCCCUGCAAGCAGCUUAAGAAACCAUAAUUGUGGCUUUCGACUAGACGUGUAACGAGAAUGGCAAGAAGAAAAAAGAAAUCAAAACUUUAGAAUUUGGCAAAUGAUGUCUUGUCUUCUGAGUGUAUGUAUGCCUUGAUACUUUUGGUAUGAUCUUUACUCCAUAAUUAGUUAUGAAAGUUGGUUGUGAUUUUGGUUUGCUUAAAUUAUUAGGUGGAAAAUAUUUUUCAGAGAUUAUAUUCUCUGUAUAGUUAGUAAUUUUGAUUUACUAUUGUAUUAAGAUUUGCUUGUUGAUGUAUUGAUUGAUGCAUAUGCUGAAAUGUGUUUGCAGGAUCAAAAAGAUUAUAUACUAAGAAACGGUAGAAAAGGGCUGACAACUAACACUGCAAUAUUUCAAGGAUGGAAGAAAGAUAUAUCUUAGCUAUUUAAACUUUUCAAUCAGUGAUUUGUAAUUUGUUGCACUACAACUAGUCACGAAUGAAGUAUAAGUUGGAAUUAUAUCUAUUGUAAUAGAAAACUCAUUACUAUGAGAUAUUGUACAUAUGCUAUAAUAUAUUUAUAUGAAAUAAAAAAUAU